UGUCCCGUGGCCCAGUGGUAGGGCGACCGACUGUUAAUCGGAAGGGCGCUGGUUCGAGUCCAGCCGGGACAGCCA
Molecule: transfer RNA, 75 nt
Filed under: Chloroflexota bacterium
Lineage: Bacteria; Bacillati; Chloroflexota
Description: Chloroflexi bacterium tRNA-Asn
Rfam family: tRNA
About the family: Transfer RNA (tRNA) molecules are approximately 80 nucleotides in length.
Source: RNAcentral